GAUUAAGUUAUUAAGGGCGCACGGUGGAUGCCUUGGCACUAGAAGCCGAUGAAGGACGUUACUAACGACGAUAUGCUUUGGGGAGCUGUAAGUAAGCUUUGAUCCAGAGAUUUCCGAAUGGGGAAACCCAGCAUGAGUUAUGUCAUGUUAUCGAUAUGUGAAUACAUAGCAUAUCAGAAGGCACACCCGGAGAACUGAAACAUCUUAGUACCCGGAGGAAGAGAAAGAAAAUUCGAUUCCCUUAGUAGCGGCGAGCGAAACGGGAAGAGCCCAAACCAACAAGCUUGCUUGUUGGGGUUGUAGGACACUCUAUACGGAGUUACAAAGGACGACAUUAGACGAAUCAUCUGGAAAGAUGAAUCAAAGAAGGUAAUAAUCCUGUAGUCGAAAAUGUUGUCUCUCUUGAGUGGAUCCUGAGUACGACGGA
RNAcentral lists this ribosomal RNA (427 nucleotides) under Staphylococcus aureus. RNAcentral describes it as "partial 23S ribosomal RNA". It matches the Rfam family "Bacterial large subunit ribosomal RNA", at positions 1 to 421 of the family's 2925-position model. The record is from RNAcentral. Lineage: Bacteria; Bacillati; Bacillota; Bacilli; Caryophanales; Staphylococcaceae.